RNAcentral lists this long non-coding RNA (247 nucleotides) under Triticum aestivum (bread wheat). RNAcentral's name for it is "long non-coding RNA (TAES_LNC014621)". The record is from RNAcentral. Lineage: Eukaryota; Viridiplantae; Streptophyta; Magnoliopsida; Poales; Poaceae.
GGAGGUUGCCGAGGUGGAGGACCUCGAUGCCACCGUCUGGAGGAUGCUGAGGUGAAGGACCUCGACUCCUUGGUAGAUACAUUUAGAAAAGUGGUCUGGUUAGGUUGGUGGUGGGACGCUAGGGAAGGUACCCACCUUUCGUGAUGGUUGUGUGCAUCUGAUGUAUAAAUGGGAUCUCAUGAUUUCUUUGAGUUCAGAUUUUCAAUGUUGUAUACAUGAACGCUGCAAGUGCUACGAUGGUUUUGUG